UUCUUUCGGGACACAUGUUUAAAUAGAUGAUUACGUCACGUUGUGCUCAAACUCCAGUUUAAAGGCAAGAUACAAAGACGAAGCUCUGAGUCCUACUUCAGUGAAAGUAUCCGCCAAUGUUGCAUGUAAUGUGUGUCCAUUUACUCCAGGGUUGGCAGCACAUCCAUGAAACACCGUUGUUUGACUCCGGGCAUCGUCUUCAACGCUAUUUUCGUAUAGUAGCCAUCGUUUCCCUCUGAUAACAGUGGUUUGGCAGAGGUCAAUGCUAUUGUCUGGCCUCCUGUCAAACGAUUCCCGGGCAGGAACACUGCGGAGCAAACACACUACUGACUCUUCUCUGGCUGUUGCACCGCAUUUUCAUGCUGAUGGGGAAAUAACAGAGGAGUAAUGAUGAAUAACUUCACGAUGCACAGCUUCUCCACCAACCACUGACUUGGCCACCAGGUGAACUAAAGGUUGAUUCCAGGUCUGCUGAGGGGUACAGACCAACACGACUGUUUCAAUGCAUGUGACCACUGGCAGAGGGGACAGCCUGCAGAGCCAGCAGUGAAGUGAACUCUGGGUCUGAAGCUCUGGAAGUCAGGUCCAAACCACCUCAGGGAUGUGGUGUGCGCCUCCACAGGAGCCUGCUGCCUUUCACCUUCCUCUCAGCAGGAAGCUGGAACCCUCAUGUAACACAGUCUCUGUCUGAACUCUUAACAACUGAAAUGGAUAAAAGCUGAAAACGGGCAACUGGAGUUUCAGCUGGACAACAUGGCGAGAACUGUCACCCGACACGGAGCAUCUGAAGUGCUACCUGUUCCACACCCUGGCUCCAGUCCGGGUGUCCCACAGCCAGCCACAGUUUAGAGGAUGGCUGAGGUUUUCCUGCCCUACUGAGCCUGAAGAGCCUCCAGCGGACGUGGAUCUCACCCUUGACAAAUGAACCAACGCUUUAAUAGCAGUGUGAUGUUGUGAGGAAUGGCUGAGCCAAACCUGCGACCACCACAUGCACCGACACCACUGUCAGGACAGUUAAACUUUUAUUAAGCAACACCCCUCAGGACAUACAAACAUGAUUCAGGACUUAUUUAUACCAAUGAAUGAAAAUUCCACCAGGAGCAGGAGCCGAUCCCUUAAUGUCCCAGCAGAGUGCCUGCAGAGAGGAGCACACAGAGAAGGUCAAGAUUCACCGCUUCUCACCUGUGUGUGUGUGGACUCACCUUUGAAGCCCUCUUCUGGCACUCGCACUGAAAAGCACAUGACCAAGGAAUGAACGGUGAAAGGUUUGGACAGAAAGACGGAGGUGGGCGGAGACACUCACCCUGAUAGGCAUCGUCCAUGGCAGCGUAGUCUGCAAUGGGCUCGUCAGCCUGGAGGAAGCAGGGCAGCAGAGUUGGGCAUGGACUGAGACUGAGCAAGGGGGAGGAUGAAGCCACGUACCCGGAGGAAUAUGAUGCUCUCAGGGACGAUGCCGAGGCUGCCCAGCGUGGCCGAGUCGUCCGUCAGAGACUUCCCGUUGAUGGAGAGGUUCUGGUCGAAUGGCGCCACGGAGAAGGCGUGCAUGAUCUGAAGCACCAACCAAGC
This is a long non-coding RNA of Synchiropus splendidus (mandarinfish), 1566 nucleotides long. RefSeq lists it as uncharacterized. The transcript has 3 exons. NCBI's taxonomy places the organism in Eukaryota, Metazoa, Chordata, Actinopteri, Syngnathiformes, Callionymidae. The record is from RefSeq and is a predicted model, not a curated record.